CAAUAGCGUAUAUUAAAGUUGUUGCAGUUAAAAAGCUCGUAGUUGGAUUUCUGGUAGGAGUGACCGUUCCGAACUUGAUUGUUCGUGUAUUGUGUUUUCUCCAGCCAUCCUUGUGGAGAACUUUUCUUGCAUUAAUUUGUAGGGAUUGGGACCCGCAUCGUUUACUGUGAAAAAAUUAGAGUGUUUAAAGCAGGCAAUCGCUUGAAUACAUUAGCAUGGAAUAAUAAGAUAGGACUUUGGUACUAUUUUGUUGGUUUGCAUACCAAAUUAAUGAUCAACAGGAACAGUUUGAGGAUAUUCGUAUGAACAUGUCAGAGGUGAAAUUCUUGGAUUUUGAUCAGACGAACUACUGCGAAAGCAUUUAGCAAGGAUGUUUUCAUUAA
This 383-nucleotide ribosomal RNA is filed under the name uncultured eukaryote. Its description in RNAcentral is "partial 18S ribosomal RNA". It matches the Rfam family "Eukaryotic small subunit ribosomal RNA", at positions 592 to 976 of the family's 1831-position model. The record is from RNAcentral.